UACAGAGGUGGCAAGCGUUGUUCGGAAUUACUGGGCGUAAAGGGCGCGUAGGCGGCUCGGUAAGUCGGGUGUGAAAACUCGAGGCUCAACCUCGAGACGUCGGCGGAAACCAUCUGGCUAGAGUCCGGAAGAGGAGAGUGGAAUUCCUGGUGUAGCGGUGAAAUGCGCAGAUAUCAGGAAGAAUAUCCGUGGCGAAGGCGGCUCUCUGGGACGGUACUGACGCUGAGACGCGAAAGCGUGGGGAGCGAACAGG
This 253-nucleotide ribosomal RNA is filed under the name uncultured bacterium. Its description in RNAcentral is "partial 16S ribosomal RNA". It matches the Rfam family "Bacterial small subunit ribosomal RNA", at positions 524 to 776 of the family's 1533-position model. The record is from RNAcentral.